GGAAUCGCUGUGCAACAGUGAUCAGCUCCAAGGCUGAGUCCCAGCUCUCCACUGAUAUUCCCUACCCAUUGCCCAAACUAGCCAAGUCUGCCAUUUUUUUGGUGGCCCAGGUAGUUGGAGAGGUUGCCAUAUUUGCAGAACUCAACAAUAACCAUGAGUGGACCUGGUGAGAAGACACCAAGGGUCAGGGCAAGAGGUGCAGGGACCCAGGGCAAAGGACAACACAAUCUGUGCCCAACAGAUUUUUCCUUGUGAUAGUUGUGCAGCGAAAAAGAUCACUUGAGGCUUACAUA
Molecule: long non-coding RNA, 293 nt
Organism: Pseudopipra pipra
Lineage: Eukaryota; Metazoa; Chordata; Aves; Passeriformes; Pipridae
Exons: 3
Source: RefSeq, a predicted model, not a curated record